RNAcentral lists this ribosomal RNA (163 nucleotides) under uncultured bacterium. RNAcentral describes it as "partial 16S ribosomal RNA". It matches the Rfam family "Bacterial small subunit ribosomal RNA", at positions 1338 to 1500 of the family's 1533-position model. The record is from RNAcentral.
GUAAUCGCAGAUCAGCAUGCUGCGGUGAAUACGUUCCCGGGCCUUGUACACACCGCCCGUCACACCAUGGGAGUCGGUAACACCCGAAGCCAGUAGCCUAACCGCAAGGAGGGCGCUGUCGAAGGUGGGAUUGAUGACUGGGGUGAAGUCGUAACAAGGUACC